Molecule: ribosomal RNA, 360 nt
Filed under: Triticum aestivum (bread wheat)
Lineage: Eukaryota; Viridiplantae; Streptophyta; Magnoliopsida; Poales; Poaceae
Description: partial small subunit ribosomal RNA
Source: RNAcentral
AUGAAGAUACCUCUUAAGAAUAAAAUCUUUGUGUGGUAUCUUCGUCGCGGAGUCGUUCUUACUAAAUAUAAUAUUAUUAAGAGAAAUUGGUAUGGAAGUCCGCAGUGUGUCUUUUGUCACCAUGAUGAGACAAUAAAACAUUUGUUCUUCCAAUGCAAAUUGGCUCAUUCUAUAUGGUCAGUCAUCCAGAUAGCUUCUGGUUGUAUCCUCCUUAUAGUGUUCCUAAUGUAUUUGGCAACUGGUUACAUGGGAUUGAUCACAAGUUUAGAACUCUUCUUAGGGUGGGAGCGCUUGCCGUUAUCUGUUCACUUUGGCUAUGUAGAAAUGAUAAGGUUUUCAAUGAUAAAAGUACUUCUCUGA